RNAcentral lists this unclassified non-coding RNA (385 nucleotides) under Hevea brasiliensis (rubber tree). The record is from RNAcentral. Lineage: Eukaryota; Viridiplantae; Streptophyta; Magnoliopsida; Malpighiales; Euphorbiaceae.
GCGAAUGAAAGGCUGACUGUUAUUGGGACAACUUCAACACACAUAGAUGGGAUAAGAAUAUGCGAGGACAACGGAGAGUUGACUCAUGUAGAUACAGAAAUGAUAGAGAUCAGCUCGCCAGAAGUACCACGAAAAAGAGUAAGAUUUCUGGUGCCUGAGAGCCCACAAAUGGAUGCAAGUGUUCGCGAAGAGUUGCAAGAACUUAUGGAAGCUAGGGAAGCAGGGAUGGCAUUUAUACUUGGUCAUUGUUAUGUUAGAGCUAAAAGGGGUUCAAGUUUGAUAAAAAAGCUGGUGAUUAACAUAGGAUAUGACUUUUUAAGAAGAAAUUGUCGUGGACCAACAUAUGCAUUGAGCUUCCCUCAAGCUUCAACAUUGGAGGUUGGAA